UGCAAUUUCUCUUUUAAAUUGAAAAGAUAGUGACAUAUUUCAGACCGCCUGGCCAGCACCCCGCAACUGUAACGUCAGCACCAAAAGCAAUAAUUACCGGUGGUCGUUGCUCGUAUGCGGUGGUGGAAUUCUCCACACAUUCACACACACGUUCACACUCGUACAUAAAUCAUAAAUCCGGUACUUUUCUAAAAUUUUAAACUGCCCUCUCCAUUUCCUGAAUGUUCAAGCUGCCAUUUUAUAAAUUAUCCAGCAGUCUGCAGGUGGGGCAGAGAAAUAAAAUGUCUAGUAACUGUGCACACUUACGGGGGGUGAGAUCCAGUCAAAGGGUUCUCCGAAGACAACGUAACACGCCUUCAUUAAAGCGCUGGAGAUAGAGACCAGUGGCACCCUGUCUUACAAAUCAGACUGAAAGAGACUACGUAACUAACACUACUUUUGAAGUGGGACACCAAAGUGCACAACCCAAACCACUGUUCAUGGGCUUCUCUUUCCAGGCUGGGGCUGGGAAAAACUUAUAUAACGUACCUUUCCAGGAGAGGCUGGGGUGGAAAGGAAAACCAAAACCCAGAAGCACACCCCCUGCAUGCAAGUCCAACCAGGUAAAGGACGUAACUCCGCACCUGAUCUGCUUCCCUACUGCUGCUGCUGGGGACGUGCGACACACAAACAAACUCACUUGGUGUUAGCCAAGCUGGCUCAGGUUUUUCCACUCAGAACCCGCGGCACCGCCGUGACAGCACAGACUUGUCCUAGAGCUCGUUUUUCAGGCUGUCCCUCAAGUUCAGAGGCUGUCCCCCAACAACAACAGCACCCCCUGCUCCUCUCUUAA
Long non-coding RNA from Chinchilla lanigera (long-tailed chinchilla), 832 nucleotides. Lineage: Eukaryota; Metazoa; Chordata; Mammalia; Rodentia; Chinchillidae. The record is from Ensembl.